Molecule: ribosomal RNA, 377 nt
Filed under: uncultured organism
Description: partial 16S ribosomal RNA
Rfam family: Bacterial small subunit ribosomal RNA
Source: RNAcentral
GUAGGUGGCAAGCGUUGUCCGGGAAUUAUUGGGGCGUAAAGCGCGCGCAGGCGGUUCUUUAAGUCUGAUGUGAAAGCCCACGGGCUCAACCGUGGGAGGGUCAUUGGAAACUGGAGAACUUGAGUACAGAAGAGGAAAGCGGAAUUCCACGUGUAGCGGUGAAAUGCGUAGAGAUGUGGAGGAACACCAGUGGCGAAGGCGGCUUUCUGGUCUGUAACUGACGCUGAGGCGCGAAAGCGUGGGGAGCAAACAGGAUUAGAUACCCUGGUAGUCCACGCCGUAAACGAUGAGUGCUAAGUGUUAGGGGGUCUCCGCCCCUUAGUGCUGCAGCUAACGCAUUAAGCACUCCGCCUGGGGAGUACGGCCGCAAAGGCUGA